UUAACUGAAAUUUGUAUGGAGUUGGAACGUUUGCCUACGUUUGCCGCUAGAGGCGGUGUACCAAAGACAUACAAAUUUGAGUGA
Bombyx mori (domestic silkworm) is the source of this 84-nucleotide non-coding RNA. NCBI's taxonomy places the organism in Eukaryota, Metazoa, Arthropoda, Insecta, Lepidoptera, Bombycidae. The record is from Rfam.